This 253-nucleotide ribosomal RNA is filed under the name uncultured bacterium. RNAcentral's name for it is "partial 16S ribosomal RNA". It matches the Rfam family "Bacterial small subunit ribosomal RNA", at positions 524 to 776 of the family's 1533-position model. The record is from RNAcentral.
GACAGAGGGGGCAAGCGUUGCUCGGAGUUACUGGGCGUAAAGGGCAUGCAGGCGGUCGUACGCGUUUCGGGUGACAGCGGGUGGCUUAACUACCCGAGUGUUCGAAAGACGGUACGACUUGAGGGCUCGAGAGGGACACGGAAUUCCGGGUGGAGUGGUGAAAUGCGUAGAGAUCCGGAGGAACACCGAAGGCGAAGGCAGUGUCCUGGCGAGUGACUGACGCUGAGGUGCGAAAGCUAGGGGAGCGAACGGG